RNAcentral lists this long non-coding RNA (203 nucleotides) under Taeniopygia guttata (zebra finch). RNAcentral's name for it is "lncRNA (ENSTGUG00000022791.1)". Lineage: Eukaryota; Metazoa; Chordata; Aves; Passeriformes; Estrildidae. The record is from RNAcentral.
AGAUGAGGUCCUGCUUAUGCCCCAUUAAAAGAGAGCAGCAUUAUGCCUGGAUAAGGAUAUAGAAGAUGAAGCUGUGAACUGUGAUAGAGAUAUAAGCUGAACUUAAUGGGAUGCACAGUCAAAUUUACACAUAAAAUACAUGUACACAGAAGAUUUGAGGUGUUUCAGGUACUGAGUGUAUCAGCUUCCUCUCCUGAACUGAG